This 355-nucleotide transfer-messenger RNA is filed under the name subsurface metagenome. RNAcentral describes it as "transfer-messenger RNA, SsrA". It matches the Rfam family "transfer-messenger RNA". From Rfam's summary of the family: Bacterial tmRNA, also known as 10Sa RNA or SsrA, is named for its dual tRNA and mRNA-like properties. The record is from RNAcentral.
GGGGACGCGUGGGUUCGACAGGGGAGGUAUGCUGCAGGAUUGCAAGCUGAGGUGCCACUACUCUCAUAAAACAAGUGGCAAAAAACAACUGGCGAAGAACCAGUUCUAAUUGCUGCCUAAUUAAAUAGGUUGCACAUCCACCCCGACCUUUCCUCAACGGGUUGGGAUUGGGUGCCGAAAAAUUGAGGUGCCACAGCCCAGACGUCGAUAAGGACUGCGAAAGAGUUCUCGACUGGCCUGGCUAAACUCGGUCAGCAGAGGCUAGCCAGGUAAGAUAAAAGAGCUGACUAAGCUUGUAGUAUAUUCUGGGUAGCUUCUCUUGGACGGGGAGUUCGACUCUCCCCCGCCUCCACCA